UUGAAAAAUAUAAUUAACUAUUUUGGAGUAUUUAUAACUAAACAAUGUAACUUAAAACUAAUUUAUAAUAUCCUUGAUUAACAUAUUAAUUAUUUUUUUUCAAAAGCAACUCGAGCAACAAUAACAAAAAUAUUCUUAAAUGAUGUUUUGCUGGUUAACUACAAUGAAACUUUAGCUAGUACAAAAUACAGAAUAAUGUUCAAGACUUAGACUUACCUG
RNAcentral lists this unclassified non-coding RNA (219 nucleotides) under Hevea brasiliensis (rubber tree). Lineage: Eukaryota; Viridiplantae; Streptophyta; Magnoliopsida; Malpighiales; Euphorbiaceae. The record is from RNAcentral.